GAAAAAAAAAGAAGGUCCGAGCAAUCUCAGAUAUAUGAGAGGCCAAGAUGGGAAGAUCACUUGGGUAAGACUGGGAAGAUUGAGUCUGCAGUGAGUCACAGUCGCAUCAUUCUGCUGGAUUUGAAUGGUACUGCUUCUGGCCCAAGUUGUCUGGGCAACCUUAGACAUGGCUGGAAACACUCUUUUUGUAGAACAUACAAAUGGACAUUUCUAAGCACAUUGAGGCCUAUAAUGAAAAAUCAAAUAUCCCACAAUGAAAACUAGAAGGAAGCUAUCUGUGAUAAUGCUUUGUGGUGUAUGGAUUCAUCUCACUGACUGAAACCUGAGUUUUGAUUCACCAGGUUAAAAACACUAUUUUUGUAGACUCUACGAAGAAACAUUUCUGAAACCAUUGAAACCUAUGGGGGAAAAAAACCCCCGAAAUUCCUGUGAUAAGAAAUGGAAAGCAGCUAUCUGUGAAAAUGCUUUGUAAUGUGUGGAUUCUUCUCACAGA
Homo sapiens (human) is the source of this 493-nucleotide long non-coding RNA. Ensembl annotates it as long intergenic non-protein coding RNA 662. Lineage: Eukaryota; Metazoa; Chordata; Mammalia; Primates; Hominidae. The record is from Ensembl.